CAGGACAAGGCUGUUUUACUCCUCCCUCCAUAACCCUCUUAGACUUAAUCCCGUCUUUAAUGCCGCUUGGAAGGGGGCUUUGAACGGCUGUGCAGCCUAACCGGCUCUGACCUCUCCGGCUGCUCUCUCAUGCCCAUUUGGAGAACUCCCGACUUUCAAAGAGAUAACAGAAGCCCGAGCCUCUCAGGGCAGAUGGAAGGAGAACGCCUCCGCUGUGGUCAGUCCCUGAAGACAAAGUGGAUGCUGCUGGCACACUGGAAUGACGGCACGGGUUUGCUGACGGUUUUGCAUGGGAGCAUCGGUUGGGUUUACACCUACAAGUGCUUGGCUAUGGCAGCGGGGCAUCCCAUGGAAAGGCCAAAAAGCAGCAGAGAGAUCCAGGGAAGGAGGAGAUGGCACACGCUGCAAGCCUGUUCUCUGUCAGCGACGCUGCUGGGAGCACGGACACCCAUAGUGGAGCCAGCAGCUGAGGACAGCUCACAGGAGAGGAAAAAAAUGGAGCCAAGGAUGGCACUGUCUCUUUAAAAAUAAAUAAAUAGAUAAAGACUAAAAAAAAAAAAAAGAAAGAAAAAAUGCAAUAAGUAUAUGCAAAUGUG
Molecule: long non-coding RNA, 596 nt
Organism: Gallus gallus (chicken)
Lineage: Eukaryota; Metazoa; Chordata; Aves; Galliformes; Phasianidae
Source: Ensembl